UAUAUUUUAGUAUAUAUGUACAUAAAUUUUUGAUAUUUAAGGAAAUAGUAUAAUUCUAUUAUAUAUAA
Molecule: transfer RNA, 68 nt
Filed under: Lucidina sp. FM13
Lineage: Eukaryota; Metazoa; Arthropoda; Insecta; Coleoptera; Lampyridae
Description: tRNA-Gln
Source: RNAcentral